Anas platyrhynchos (mallard) is the source of this 899-nucleotide non-coding RNA. Lineage: Eukaryota; Metazoa; Chordata; Aves; Anseriformes; Anatidae. The record is from RefSeq and is a predicted model, not a curated record.
CUCAUGGUGUUAGUACUUCUGCUGUUCCCCCUGGAGUUUCCUCCUCCAUCAGAGGGCUUUGAUCAUCACUUUUGUGGGUGCUGCCUGUGGGACAGCUUCUCAGCUGGACGUGUUGAGAGCACACAGGCUGCCCCGUGCUGAGGCAGAGACUCUGCUCCUGAGAUCAUGCGGCUCCCGAGAAAGCUGCUCGUGUCCAUGCUCACCUCAGCUGGCAGAGCAGUGGUUAUCGAGAAGCUUGUGCACAGAGAACAGAACAUCUUGACCCCUUUUCUUCCUGUGCCUUCUGCACCUGCCUCCCGGUUUUGGUCAUUCCUUAAGGUAGAACCGGGUUUACGUUGACGUUAUCAGCCAAAAUCUUCUGAAAGGAACUUUUUAACCCUGCUGACAUGCACAAAAUAAUAAUAAUAAAAAAGAGCCAUGGACGUCUUAGUGCUUCUGGAACAGCAAAAUUGCAGUUGCUGGAGAAGGCAUAAAAACAAAACCCUGAAGAAAGUUUCAAUCUCAUGGGUUCUUUAUUUCUUUGGUGGCCUGAGGCUAGUUAUGUUAGGGCCGUAUUGGUGGCAAGGGCAAAGAAAAAUGACAGUUUGUUGGUUCUCUGUCAGCGCUGGAAUAAUGUUUGAACGUCAGCCUCCAUGAGAGUGUGAUGAUGGCCUGGGCCCAAACCUGCAUGGCAGUGACUAAGCUCAAGCAGGUACAGAGCUCCCUGCUGUUACGUUUCCAGCUUUGAGUCCUAACAGCAUCUUGUUUUCAAGAACUAGCUUUGUGGGGACGUUUGGAGUGCCUGUGUUGGUGUUCGUGGAAAGGAAAUAAUUCAGGUGUCAAUCAGCUUUUGUUUUUCAUGUUACUUUGUUCGUUCUGUUGUUUUGUUGCUAUAGUUCCAAUGAAAGCACAUAACAAAA